AUUGAACGCUGGCGGCAGGCUUAACACAUGCAAGUCGCGCGAGCGGCGGACGGGUGAGUAACGUAUGGGCAACUGUCUGAUGGAGGGGGAUAAAUACUGGCAACGGUAUAUAAGAACGCAUUCCAUCAGCUGAACCUAUACGGGAUUAGCUUGUAGGUGGGGUAACGGCUCACCUAGGCGACGAUCCCUAGCUGGUCGGAAAGGAUGAUCAGCCACACUGGGACGGAGACACGGCCCAGACUCCUACGGGAGGCAGCAGUGGGGAAUAUUGCACAAUGGGCGCAAGCCUGAUGCAGCCAGGCCGCGUGGAUGAAGAAGGCCUUCGGGUUGUAAAGUACUUUCAGUCGGGAGGCGUUACCGACAGAAGAAGCACCGGCUAACUCCGUGCCAGCAGCCGCGGUAAUAC
RNAcentral lists this ribosomal RNA (406 nucleotides) under uncultured bacterium. RNAcentral's name for it is "partial 16S ribosomal RNA". It matches the Rfam family "Bacterial small subunit ribosomal RNA", at positions 30 to 526 of the family's 1533-position model. The record is from RNAcentral.